GACGAACGCUGGCGGCGUGCCUAAUACAUGCAAGUUGAGCGCUGAAGGUUGGUACUUGUACCGACUGGAUGAGCAGCGAACGGGUGAGUAACGCGUGGGGAAUCUGCCUUUGAGCGGGGGACAACAUUUGGAAACGAAUGCUAAUACCGCAUAAAAACUUUAAACACAAGUUUUAAGUUUGAAAGAUGCAAUUGCAUCACUCAAAGAUGAUCCCGCGUUGUAUUAGCUAGUUGGUGAGGUAAAGGCUCACCAAGGCGAUGAUACAUAGCCGACCUGAGAGGGUGAUCGGCCACAUUGGGACUGAGACACGGCCCAAACUCCUACGGGAGGCAGCAGUAGGGAAUCUUCGGCAAUGGACGAAAGUCUGACCGAGCAACGCCGCGUGAGUGAAGAAGGUUUUCGGAUCGUAAAACUCUGUUGGUAGAGAAGAACGUUGGUGAGAGUGGAAAGCUCAUCAAGUGACGGUAACUACCCAGAAAGGGACGACUAACUACGUG
Molecule: ribosomal RNA, 497 nt
Filed under: uncultured bacterium
Lineage: Bacteria
Description: partial 16S ribosomal RNA
Rfam family: Bacterial small subunit ribosomal RNA
Source: RNAcentral